This 468-nucleotide ribosomal RNA is filed under the name uncultured bacterium. RNAcentral describes it as "partial 16S ribosomal RNA". It matches the Rfam family "Bacterial small subunit ribosomal RNA", at positions 28 to 507 of the family's 1533-position model. The record is from RNAcentral.
GACGAACGCUGGCGGCGGGCUUAAUACAUGCAAGUCGAACGGACCAAUUCCGGUAGUUUACGAUUGGGGAGGGUUAGUGGCGGGCGGGUGAGUAACGCGUGGGCGGUCGGCCCCUAAGUCCGGCGUAACAGAGCGAAAAUUCUGCUAAGACCGUGUACGCUUUACUAGCCGCUUGUUUGAUAAAGGAACAGGAACGCUUAGGGAUGAGCCCUCGUCCCAUUAGAUAGUUGGUGAGGUAACGGCCCACCAACGCAACGAUGGGUAGCCGGCCUGAGAGUGUGGGCGGACACACUGGGAGUGAGACACGGCCGAGAAUAUUACGGGAGGGAGGAGUAGGGAAUUCUCGGAAAUGGGCGAAAGGAUGAACGAGCAACGCUGCGAGAGGGACGAAGGUCUUCGGAUCGUAAACCUUUGUAAUCGAGGACGAUAAUGACGUUACUCGCGGAGGAAGCCCCGGCUAACUACGUG